CUAUGUAUAGCUCUGUUGGUUAGAGCGCUGUACCAGAAUCACAGGGCUGCAGGUUCAAUUCCUGCCAGACAGC
Paramuricea clavata is the source of this 73-nucleotide non-coding RNA. The record is from the annotation of a GenBank genome assembly. NCBI's taxonomy places the organism in Eukaryota, Metazoa, Cnidaria, Anthozoa, Malacalcyonacea, Plexauridae.